Cebus imitator (Panamanian white-faced capuchin) is the source of this 434-nucleotide non-coding RNA. The record is from the annotation of a RefSeq genome assembly. Lineage: Eukaryota; Metazoa; Chordata; Mammalia; Primates; Cebidae.
UUUAUCAGUAGGCUGGUGACACCCUGUGAGGAAGUCUCUCUCAGUCAGGACACAGCAUGGACAUGAAGGUGUCCGCUCAGCUCCUGGGGCUCCUGCUGCUCUGGCUCCCAGAUACCAGAUGUGACAUCCAGAUGACCCAGUCUCCAUCCUCUCUGUCUGCAUCUGUGGGAGACAGAGUCACCAUCACUUGUCAUGCGAGUCAGAGCAUUAGCAACUGGUUAGCCUGGUAUCAGCAGAAACCAGGGAAAGUUCCUAAGCUCCUGAUCUAUAAGGCAUCCACUUUGCAAUCUGGGGUCCCAUCUCGGUUCAGCGGCAGUGGAUCCGGGACAGAUUUUACUCUCACCAUCAGCAGCCUGCAGCCUGAAGAUGUUGCAACUUAUUACUGUCAGAAGUAUAACAGUGCUCCUCCCACUGUGAUACAAACCCAAACAUAA